RNAcentral lists this ribosomal RNA (1339 nucleotides) under uncultured bacterium. RNAcentral describes it as "bacterial SSU rRNA". It matches the Rfam family "Bacterial small subunit ribosomal RNA", at positions 28 to 1387 of the family's 1533-position model. The record is from RNAcentral.
GACGAACGCUGGCGGCGCGCCUAACACAUGCAAGUCGAACGAGCGAGAGGAGGUUUACUUUCUCAAGCGAGUGGCGAACGGGUGAGUAACGCGUGAGGAACCUGCCUCAAAGAGGGGGACAACAGUUGGAAACGACUGCUAAUACCGCAUAAGCCCACGGCUCGGCAUCGAGCAGAGGGAAAAGGAGCAAUCCGCUUUGAGAUGGCCUCGCGUCCGAUUAGCUGGUUGGUGAGGUAACGGCCCACCAAGGCGACGAUCGGUAGCCGGACUGAGAGGUUGAACGGCCACAUUGGGACUGAGACACGGCCCAGACUCCAACGGGAGGCAGCAGUGGGGAAUAUUGCACAAUGGGGGAAACCCUGAUGCAGCGACGCCGCGUGGAGGAAGAAGGUCUUCGGAUUGUAAACUCCUGUUGUUGAGGAAGAUAAUGACGGUACUCAACAAGGAAGUGACGGCUAACUACGUGCCAGCAGCCGCGGUAAAACGUAGGUCACAAGCGUUGUCCGGAAUUACUGGGUGUAAAGGGAGCGCAGGCGGGAAGACAAGUUGGAAGUGAAAUCCAUGGGCUCAACCCAUGAACUGCUUUCAAAACUGUUUUUCUUGAGUAGUGCAGAGGUAGGCGGAAUUCCCGGUGUAGCGGUGGAAUGCGUAGAUAUCGGGAGGAACACCAGUGGCGAAGGCGGCCUAUUGGGCACCAACUGACGCUGAGGCUCGAAAGUGUGGGUAGCAAACAGGAUUAGAUACCCUGGUAGUCCACACUGUAAACGAGGAUUAUUAGGUGUGGGGGGGAUUGACCCCUCCAGUGCCGCAGUUAACCCAAUAAGUAAUCCACCUGGGGAGUAGGACCGCAAGGUUGAAACUCAAAGGAAUUGACGGGGGCCCGCACAAGCAGUGGAGUAUGUGGUUUAAUUCGACGCAACGCGAAGAACCUUACCAAGUCUUGACAUCCUGCGACGGUGCUGGAAACAGUACUUUCCUUCGGGACGCAGAGACAGGUGGUGCAUGGUUGUCGUCAGCUCGUGUCGUGAGAUGUUGGGUUAAGUCCCGCAACGAGCGCAACCCUUAUGGUCAGUUACUACGCAAGAGGACUCUGGCCAGACUGCCGUUGACAAAACGGAGGAAGGUGGGGAGGACGUCAAAUCAUCAUGCCCUCUAUGACUUGGGCUACACACGUACUACAAUGGCGUUAAACAAAGAGAAGCAAGACCGCGAGGCGGAGCAAAACUCAGAAACAACGUCCCAGUUCGGACUGCAGGCUGCAACUCGCCUGCACGAAGUCGGAAUUGCUAGUAAUCGCAGAUCAGCAUGCUGCGGUGAAUACGUUCCCGGGCCUUGCACA